UGAGGAAUAUUGGUCAAUGGCCGAGAGGCUGAACCAGCCAAGUCGCGUGAGGGAUGACGGCCCUACGGGUUGUAAACCUCUUUUGUCGGGGAGCAAAGAGAGUCACGUGUGGCUCAUUGAGAGUACCCGAAGAAAAAGCAUCGGCUAACUCCGUGCCAGCAGCCGCGGUAAUACGGAGGAUGCGAGCGUUAUCCGGAUUUAUUGGGUUUAAAGGGUGCGCAGGCGGAGGUGCAAGUCAGUGGUCAAAUUGCGGGGCUCAACCCCGUACUGCCGUUGAAACUGCAUCCCUUGAGUGCGCGAGAAGUAUGCGGAAUGCGUGGUGUAGCGGUGAAAUGCAUAGAUAUCACGCAGAACUCCGAUUGCGAAGGCAGCAUACCGGCGCGCAACUGACGCUCAUGCACGAAAGCGUGGGUAUCGAACA
This 421-nucleotide ribosomal RNA is filed under the name uncultured bacterium. RNAcentral describes it as "bacterial SSU rRNA". It matches the Rfam family "Bacterial small subunit ribosomal RNA", at positions 355 to 774 of the family's 1533-position model. The record is from RNAcentral.